GACAAUAGCAAGGCUCCGCCCAGCCUGGUUGGACAAUAGCAAGGCUCCGCCCAGCCUGGUUGGACAAUAGCAAGGCUCCAUUAGCCAUCUGUAUUUAUAUCACUAUGUUUUAGCCAUUUUGUUAUAUGUCUCUGGCAUUGGCUUUGCACGGACCACCUGACUUUAACCGUUACAUAGUUAACAUUGUAUUCUGUAUUAGUAGGAGCCCUAUUUGUUCAUAUCUGUAUGUAUUUUAUUUUUCAAAGUGUUUCUUCUUUUAGCCGUAGAUGAUCAUUAAAAACCUGUAAAAGUAUUUUUGGUCUUUGAAUAUUUUGAUGACUUCCUAUGAUGCUUUUAGUUCUUAUAAUGCGGCUAGUCCAGACAGGCUGGGUGACAGGCUUACUUCGGCCCUGAGAUAAUGCCUCUAGUCCAGAAUGGCUGGGUGACAGGCUUCCUUCAG
This 439-nucleotide long non-coding RNA is filed under the name Salmo salar (Atlantic salmon). Its description in RNAcentral is "lncRNA (ENSSSAG00000114163.1)". Lineage: Eukaryota; Metazoa; Chordata; Actinopteri; Salmoniformes; Salmonidae. The record is from RNAcentral.